UCGUCUGUAAACAUCGCAAUCGUCAUGAUAAAUAUUGCAAUGAUCACGCCACGCCACCUUCUCACUUUCAGCCGCCUGACGAGUGUAUAUAAAGGCAUGCUUGAUCUUGAUUAAAACAUAACACAUCUUUUUGUGCAGAUAAAUUCUUUGUUUUCACUUUAACCCUCAAAAACCAACCAAAAACCAAAAAUGGGCGCAGAAAAUGUAUCCAUGAACAUCGUUGUCGUCGGACAAGUCCAAUCUGCCAAGGCCAUCAAAUCUGUCGCCAAAGCCACCCCAGCCACCAGCCAAUUGAUGAACUGUUAAUUCAUGUAGUUCAUCCAUCCAUCGCAAACUCAAACAUGCCAUAGCCAAAAUAAUACAAUACGAGUAUAUUAUUUAGAUUGAUAUUGACACCAUGAAAUAAAACAGCUUCUUCCGAAAUUGAA
Long non-coding RNA from Myzus persicae (green peach aphid), 428 nucleotides. RefSeq lists it as uncharacterized. NCBI's taxonomy places the organism in Eukaryota, Metazoa, Arthropoda, Insecta, Hemiptera, Aphididae. The transcript is spliced from 4 exons. The record is from RefSeq and is a predicted model, not a curated record.